This 251-nucleotide ribosomal RNA is filed under the name uncultured prokaryote. RNAcentral describes it as "partial 16S rRNA". It matches the Rfam family "Bacterial small subunit ribosomal RNA", at positions 525 to 775 of the family's 1533-position model. The record is from RNAcentral.
ACAGAGGUCCCAAGCGUUGUUCGGAUUCACUGGGCGUAAAGGGUGCGUAGGCGGUCGGGUAAGUCUGAUGUGAAAUCCCGAAGCUUAACUUCGGAAUGGCAUUGGAUACUAUCCGGCUUGAGGAUCGGAGGGGGGACUGGAAUUCUCGGUGUAGCAGUGAAAUGCGUAGAUAUCGAGAGGAACACCAGUGGCGAAGGCGAGUCCCUAGACGAUUCCUAACGCUGAGGCACGAAAGCUAGGGGAGCAAACAG